UCUGAAUUUCUAUUAUUCAAAGAUUUUUGUCAUGCCUUUCUCUCCCAGAUUAGGAAAAUUCUGCUCUAAGAACUUUCUUUCCCACAGACACAAUUAACACCAAACUCACUCUGUUAUGAUCUAGUGGGUAAACGAAGCGUGGGUUCACAGCUGCUUCUCACAGUAGUGUUCUUUUCUUACCAGUCGCUUAUUAUUUUGUUAUACUGGAACCAGUUAGCUUGUUUUUCCAGACAUGGUUAUUUUCCAAGCUAAAUGACUACUUAUAGCUUUUUUUUUUUUUUGGCUUGUUUUCUAAGUUUCAGCCAAAGAGAUUCAGUCAGUAGCAAGAAUAAGCAGAGGGGUGCACAUCUUCUGGUUUGUUUCUUUGUUUUAAAUGUUAAAAUAUAAAGACCUUGAAAGCUAUAGGGGCAUCUUUGUUAUGGAACUAAAUUCCAUGAUGUUUUGAAGUGCUCUGAUACCAUCUUGCUUGGGAAAAAACAACAACAACAAAACACUUGUUUUGCCCUGAAAGCUGAGCUCAGUUAAUGUCCAGCAGGCAGAGCAGUGUUUAGGGCCUAGCUGACAGGAGCAAGGCUAAGCCAGAAUGUUGAAUAACUACCCAAGGCACAUACACUGUCCGUUUUACGUCCCAGCUGAAGAAGCAGAUGAUGAAUGCACCCAAUAAAGGCUGCCUCCAAAUGUUUAGUAGAGCUGACAGCUGUGACCCCGCUGGCACUCCGGCCCUCACACAGGGCCACACGCAGCGUCCCACAGCCGUUCUGCCCACCCGCGGCCCUGCUCAGAAGUCGGCAUGGCCAUACAGGGACGGCUCCUCUGCACUUGCCACUGUUCCCAUGGUGCAAUGUAUGGGCAAACCAAGCAUGUGUGUGAGGCCUGUUCCUGCUGCCGAGGGUUUUCCAGUAAGAUGGGUUUCUGCCUGAAACCAGAGGUGUGGUGCAAAUCCUCGGUUGCUGUGACCUGCUUUACCCCUGCUGGAAAAGAAGCCACAGAUACAUGUAAGUCAGCUUUCCCCUCAUAAAAUCUGCUGUGUAGAAGCAAUAAUGGUAUGAUUUCCAGGUUUUUUUUCCAGCACAGACUUUCUUAAAAAUGGGUAUUUCAGCUCCAUAAGGUCAGCUUAACGCUAUCAGUUUUCAGAUGGUCAUAUGGUUUAGGCAAGACCCCUCAGUACAGUAAGGCACAGUCCCAUGCUUGCAAACAAUAAACAAAGUGAUGUAGUGAUCCUCAACAUAGCAGUGCCACCAGUGCCCCACUAUGUUACCCCACUAGCCAGCAGGGCCAUGUGCAAAGAGACCAGAGACCUUGAAAGUCCCUUCAAACUGAAACAACUCACGAUUCUAAGAUUUAAUUAUCAGAAGCAAUUGGGUAUUGCAGGUGAAAAGUGAGCAUUUCUCAUUAUGCUGCUGCUUUCAAUGUUCUCUAAUGACCAAGUAGGACUUUUAAUUUCCAUGCUUUCUGGUUAUUACUCUUUUUUCAGCUUCAUACAAUCUAAACUCCAAGCUUUCAGACUUAUCCUCCCUGGCAACUAUUGUUAUUCUUGCUUUCUAGUUCUUAAUUAAUAUUUGCCAUGCUCUUACUAAGGUAAGUCUGUACUUUCUCGUUAUAUGAAAUUAAAAGUAGGUGAGCUUAGUUACCAACUAAGAGAAGCUUUAGAAAGCCAUAGGACACCUUCAUAUGUGGAUUUAUUUUUUUUUUGAUUUUGAUUCUCAGGAGUGCCCUGAAGACCUUCUAUCUAACCUGUCAGUCAAAUGAAUCAGUGAGUCAUUGUGUCAGAAAUACAGAGUCUUGCAUGCUGUACUCUGUGGUGAGUCCAUGAUUUUCCUGAUUACUGCACACAAACAACACUUCUUCGUAGCUGUGUGUUGCUGAUGAAUGAAUGCAAAAUAAGAUGAGUGAAAAAACUUCUGCUUCAGCUUUUGUGAUUGCUGUUAGGAAGAUGUUGAUUCAAUUCCUUUUCUUUGCCUCAUGCUCCCUGGGUUAGCAGAAGAGGCAUUAGAAAGGUGAGGCAAUCUGCCUAAACAGGAGAAAGAGCAUCUUAACAGCAGAGCUUCUAGCUGAGUGAAGAGCAUGCAGGCGAAGAAAGCAGGAAGAUCUGUGGAAUAUGGGAGAAGACAAUCCACAGACUUAUGGGAUGGUUUGCAUAGACAUACUGAAGGCUGCCAUUAUGGUGGGUGGAUUGAGUGUUCUGAUGAACCUCCUUGGAUAUUUAUAACUUGUGUACUCCGCUGAUAUCAUUAUAUAUAUGUCAUAGAAACAAACAGCAAUUUGGGAAAGGGAACCAAUGACCUCUGAAGCCUCAGAGGUUUUCUUGUACCCAUUACUGCCCCAAAUGUAUUCCUAAGUAUCACAUCACACAAGCAUGCUUCUCUCCCCUGGACUGCCAUGAGAGCUCAGGCUGCCGAGGCAUCCAUGGGAGGCUCCUUGCAUGCUGCAGGACAGGGCCAAGAGGCAGGCAGCCAUGUGCAGGGUGACGCCCUAUGUGUGCAGCCUGCUGCAGCUGGGUCUCAGCAGAGCCACGUGCUGCUGCUGUGGCACCAAAGCACACCAAGCCUCAUUGGCCAGCACCUGAUUUUUUAAUGCCGUUGUUUAUGUAACUGCAACUUUAAAUGGUUUCAGAUAACUGGAUUAGUGAGGUUAGACGCAAUAAAGUUAUCUGAGACAGGAUCAGACUAAAGGGCUGUCUCUGACAAUGGCCACUACUGACUUGAAGAAUAGAUUGUACAGCAGUGCUUCCAAACUGACACCCUCUGAGCUUUAGCAGUCUGUGCCUCAGGAUGAAUUCAGCCAAGAGUGAUAUCUGUGCUUAACAGAUAUGUAAGAUCCCCACUGAUGAUGGGAGGAGUUUUGCAUGAGAAAAAGUUCCAGCCAUCCCUACUGAGCUAAUGAAAAAUUUUGUGCAGUACUUCUCUGCAUUUGGCCACAUCUGAUUCUUCUUCUCAUACACAAAAGCAACGGUCAAAAUGAUAACACCAGAACUUCCAGACCCAUAUGAACAGAAUGUGUCAUCAAAACCCAUAAAUGGAGAAAAAGGACUCAUAGGCUAUGGUGCAUGUCUUGAGGAGCAAAAGAAAAAAAAAAUAAAUAAGGCUUUAAUAGGUUACUUUAUGGAGGGAAGGAUUUUCAGUUCCUUCUAAAAUAGAUAGUUUUGAAUAGUUCAUUUCACAAAACAUUAGGAAGGAAAGAUUGGAGGAAAUCUGUAUUUCUCAGCUUCAAAAUUGAGCUAUAGGCAGAGCGUUUGCCAGCUCAUUUUUCUUUUUUGCUGGAAACAGACAUUUGUGAGUUGUGGAAAACAAGCAGUGGGAGGAGGGAGGAAAUUGUCUAAGCCUGCAUAAGGAGUUUAGAUAGUAUACCUGUAUAAUUUAUAAAGAGCUUUGAUACCUAAGAAGGCCAUUGUGGAUACACUGCACAGUUCUCACCUUGUGCCCGGUUGAGCCAGGGGCAUCCAUAGAUGGUCGGCUUUUGUCUGCCCCAAGGACAUUGCAGUGACAGCAUAUGUAAGUGAACUAUCCUAAAUCCUAGUACCUCCUUUUGUAACUCAACUCCAGCUAUCAGAAGAUGCUAGAAAAUUAAUGUUAGUGAUGGGCUCACUAAUAGAACCCAAAGCAUUUAUGGGGACCUAAGGGCUCACAGCAGUGCCAUCAGCACUCUCAUAAACAUAGUGGAGUUUCAUAGGAGUGAAAAUGCACAUCUUGUGAAAUUAUUUUCAUGAUGGUGCCAUAUGGGCUGGAAUGGUUUUGAGAUUUUUUUUUACCACACUCUUCAUGCAACUAACUAAACUCAGAAACAUGGGCAGAGAGGGGGCACUGUGAGAAGGCCGUGCAAUAAGGAAGUGGAAUUACAGCAUUCUCCCUGGAAAAAGAGUGGAUACUUCAGGGUAUGUGCUAGUUUUGAGGCUGUGCGGUGCUUAGCAGCUUGCUAGGGUAAACUCACAACAGGAUACCACAGGGGAAGGCAGGCUACAAUUUUUUAUAGGUCAGUGUUUUAUGGGCUGCUUAACUGAGAUGACUGUGUACUUCAACACUGAGAGAGCCAGGGGAAAGUCUCCUGCUUACUUCCAGCCUAGAGCUGGAAGCACAGCACAUCAGAGAUUGCUCAGUCCUCUGACAUCGGAUCUGUCUCCAACACAGCAGGCUCUACACCAUUAUCCAGUACAAGUCCUCAAUGCAUGCAAUUUCCAAUAGUUUUUCUGAUUGUGCCCAAAAAGUAAAUUUUUCUUAUUGCUUAGUUUGCUUCCUAGUUGCCUCACACUAAGUUACCUUCAAAUUUAUGCACUUUGUAAACUUGACCAAAAUAAAACAGCCAAGAAAACACAGAAAUUGAGAUAAAGUUGUGAAAUGCAUAGCUGCAUUGUCUAGGAGUACAGCAGGAGUAAAGUACGUGGCUUUAUGGCAGGAGCUAGACUUUGUUUUCUCAAAUGCUAAAGACAUUAACUAUGAGAUAAUAAUUUCUUCUCUUAUCAAUUGCACGUUCCAUUAGGCAACCACUUUGUCUAUUUCUGUUUGAGAAGCUACAGUUAGGAAGGCUCUCAGUGCCUAAUUGCUUUGGUUUAAU
This is a long non-coding RNA of Meleagris gallopavo (turkey), 4548 nucleotides long. NCBI's taxonomy places the organism in Eukaryota, Metazoa, Chordata, Aves, Galliformes, Phasianidae. The record is from Ensembl.